Long non-coding RNA from Girardinichthys multiradiatus, 576 nucleotides. RefSeq lists it as uncharacterized. Lineage: Eukaryota; Metazoa; Chordata; Actinopteri; Cyprinodontiformes; Goodeidae. The transcript has 5 exons. The record is from RefSeq and is a predicted model, not a curated record.
CUAUCAAAAAAUCAGGGAUCAAAAACAAGUUGUAAUUGUGCUUAGACUCUCAGCUGGCCAAUGCCAGUACAGCAUCAAAUUAAGACAGGAGCCUUAUUUGCAUGUAAGUGCUGAUCAAGUGUGGCUGGCAAAGACAGGUGAACCAGUGAAAAAUGGCAUAGACCAAAGAGGAGCGCUAGAAGAAUUCUCUCAUUAACACGACCAGAUUGAGCUGUUUCCCUGGGUACCUCUGACGUCACCAUAGCUACUGCUCCCCCACCUGCUUCUCUGCGCUGCAGGAUACAACUGGUGGUGGAGUGGAGGCCUGAGAAGGUAGGGAAAUCAGGGGGAGCUAGGAAGCCAGAUGGCGGAGAUGGGGAGGGUCGCAGCUCAGCUUGAAGAGCGAGGAAGUUGUGCGUGAAGAUCUUAAAGCGGAGCCUUGGACGGUGAUUGGCCGUAGAGGAAAUGCAGACUUGAUGCUGGAGCGGGGACGCACGGUGGACUCAUUGAACGAAGUAGAGGAAGGGAAAUAAACAUCCAUCCCUCUAAAACAUCUUUAACAUGGGUCGACCAUGAGAACAUCAUGGAAGUUGCGGC